GAUGAAGAACGUAGCGAAAUGCGAUACGUAAUGUGAAUUGCAGAAUUCAGGGAAUCAUCGAAUCUUUGAACGCAUAUUGCGCUCUUUGGUAUUCCGAAGAGCAUGCUUGUUUGAGUAUCAGUAAACACCUCAACCUCUUCUUGAUUUUUCAAAAGGAGGGUGGACUUGAGCUAUCCCAACAACCUUUACCGGUCGGCGGGCGGCUUGAAAUGCAGGUGCAGCUGGACUUUUAUCUGAGCUAAAAGCAUAUCUAUUUAGUCCUCGUCAAACAGGAUUAUUACUUUUGCUGCAGCUAACAUAAAGGAUAAUUGUCCUCUUUGCUGACUGAUGCAGGAUUUUACGACACUUUAUGUGUUGUUCAACUCGAUCUCAAAUCAAGUAAGACUACCCGCUGAACUUAAGCAUAUCAAUAAGCGGAGGA
This 421-nucleotide unclassified non-coding RNA is filed under the name soil metagenome. RNAcentral's name for it is "partial contains 5.8S ribosomal RNA, internal transcribed spacer 2, and large subunit ribosomal RNA". The stretch from base 1 to 120 matches the Rfam family "5.8S ribosomal RNA", at positions 35 to 154 of the family's 154-position model. The record is from RNAcentral.